Molecule: ribosomal RNA, 408 nt
Filed under: uncultured microorganism
Description: bacterial SSU rRNA
Rfam family: Bacterial small subunit ribosomal RNA
Source: RNAcentral
CAGCCGCCGCGGUAAUUCGUAGGGUGCGAGCGUUAAUCGGAAUUACUGGGCGUAAAGCGUGCGCAGGCGGUUUUGGAAGACAGAGGUGAAAUCCCCGGGCUCAACCUGGGAACUGCCUUUGUGACUGCAAGGCUGGAGUGCGGCAGAGGGGGAUGGAAUUCCGCGUGUAGCAGGGAAAUGCGUAGAUAUGCGGAGGAACACCGAUGGCGAAGGCAAUCCCCUGGGCCUGCACUGACGCUCAUGCACGAAAUCGUGGGGAGCAAACAGGAUUAGAUACCCUGGUAGUCCACGCCCUAAACGAUGUCAACUGGUUGUUGGACGGCUUGCUGUUCAGUAACGAAGCUAACGCGUGAAGUUGACCGCCUGGGGAGUACGGCCGCAAGGUUGAAACUUAAAGGAAUUGGCGGG